AGAUAUUCUACUGGAUGUUAAUAGGGGGGAAUAGGGGGAGAGCAUAGCGGAGCAUUAUUCAAAGACCGCGCGGAGCUGAUAGUAUCGCGAUGAAUAUGUAUUCGUGGGACACUCUGUAUAUAGGUAACGCAAUGAAAAAAAAUAAAAAAAUAAAAAACCCGUUAAUCAAUUGGCGAUGUGUUUAUCAUUUCGUAUUUCGCAAUACGUGCGCUGAAUUUAUAGAUACGUAUAUGACGUUUUCAGAGGCGAAACCAUAUUAUAGAGAGGGCACACGGGUGGGUGAAUUUCCCGACUUGCACCUGCAGAUACCCGAGUAUGGGCAGGUCGCGGCAAAAUCGAUAUGGAAAAUAACAAUCGAAGAAUGCAAUUGCCGAUUCGCGUUUUCGUACAGAGUCCGGCAAUAAACUGUAAUAUAUACACGGUUCCAGUAGUCAAAAAUCGAACGUUUACGUUAUAAUUAGUGUACGUUAUUGUGUAUACGGAACGACCGAUCCUCGACGAGACACUCGUUAUCUCGGGAAGUAUUAUACUAUAAUAUUAUUAUUUAUACUCAACGAACGUGCGGCUCUAAAAUGUUACACCAUCAUAUACGUUCACACGUACAGCACCACUGUACAAAACAUUGGCAUCUAAUCUACCCGUUGAAACGCCGCGCAAUGUGCCACCACACAAAUGUUGCUGCUCUUCUCUCCUCCUAUCCACAUUUAAAAGUGAAAUAUCUACAGAAAUCAGAAAUGUCAACAUCAAAACGUAUCAAUCAUACGAAUACUACAUGUGCGUAAAGGAUUUUUAAUAUAUCUGUAAGGUUGAAAAUCAAAAUUAGGUACUUGGGUACCCAGCCGUUUAAUUUGAUGCAAUAAAAACAUAUUAACAACGAUGAUUGUAACGAUU
This is a non-coding RNA of Cinara cedri, 891 nucleotides long. Lineage: Eukaryota; Metazoa; Arthropoda; Insecta; Hemiptera; Aphididae. The record is from the annotation of a GenBank genome assembly.